UCUUUCUUUAAAGAUUCAGAUGCCUCUUGUGGAAUCAGAUAACUCUAACAUUGGCAGUGAAGAUGAGUACAUUCCAUGUCCCAAGGACGAAAGCACAGAAAGUGAUAGCAGUUUGGAAUUAACCCUGGAAAAUAAAAAAAGGAACAAAGGUGCAUCUAGUGAGAGCAGAAGAAAGUCUUCCAGUCGGAGCAAGUUUAAACCCAGGGAGAGUGGAAGUGAGUCCUCCAAGCAGAAAAGAAGCAGGUCUUCCAGUCAGAGCCAGCUUGAUUUUAGCCAGAAGAGACCCUUUAAAACAGGUCAUGACCCCACACAAAUAUUUCCAAAUAGCAGAGUUGAUGGUAAUGAAAAGAAAAUAGUUGCAACAUAUUCUAAAAAGGAUGUGAGUGUUUCAAUGCCCCUGGAAGAAGAGCAGUCUAUGUAUGUCAAUCCAGUUUUAAAGAAGAUGGAUGGGUCUAGAAGCUACAACAAAAAACAUUUCUGCUUUUAUUGCAGAAAGUUUGUCCAGAAAAUGUCAAGGCACUUGUGGCGUAAACACCAAGAUGAAACAGAUGUUGCAAAAGCAUUCAGUUUGCCAAAGAACUCAAAAGAAAGGAAACUGCAGUUGGACUACAUACGAAAUAAGGGCAACUUUGAGCACAAUAGUGAGGUUUUGGAGACACAGAAAGGCAAACUCAUCCCAUGGAAGCAACCACAGAAAAAAUCUGAAGGACAGGAAUUUGCACAUUGUAUUCACUGCUAUGGUUUGUUCUCAAGAAGAGCAAUGUGGCGGCAUUUUCAGGUUUGCAACUUCAAACCUGAGAGUAGUAAACCCGGUAAAACUCGUGUUCUUUCUUUGUGUGCUUUCGCUGAACCUGCUCCACCUGGAUUUAAUGAUGCUUAUUGGAAGUUCUUAAGUGUUAUGAAUCAAGACAGGAUUGCAGUUGCUAUUAAAGAAGACCGCUGUAUUCUUGAAUAUGGUUACAGACUGUUCAGGAAGAACGAGAAGGUGGUCAGUCAACACCAGUAUAUUCGGCAAAAACUGAGAGAGCUUGGCAGGCUGUUAUUGAAAGCAAGACAAGUUACACAUGUGAAGACCAUCCAAGAACUCAUAAAACCUGAACAGUACAGUCAGGUGGUCACUGCUGCAAAGAGCCUAUCUGGAUUCAGUGAGCAAACUGGCAAAUACCAAUGUCCGUCUCUUGCUCGCAAGGUUGGACACAGCUUGUAUUCUUUGGCCAUGUUUAUCAAGUCCGAAGGCCUGAAAAAGAAAGAUAAACAAGCUACUCAAGAUGCUGAGGAGUUUGCGCUGCUUUAUCAAGAAAGUUGGAGAUUUGACAUUGCAAGCCAAGCAUUAACUCAACUUGACCAGACCAAAUGGAAUGCUCCUCUACUGUUACCUUUCACACAAGAUAUUCAAAAGUUUCAUUGUCAUCUAGCUGAGAAACAGCAGCAACAUUUGAAUGAUCUGCAAAAACACCCAUCACCAUCAAACUGGAAGGAGCUUGCAAAAGUUACCCUCACACAAGUUGUACUGUUUAACCGGCGGAGAGGAGGGGAAGUGUCCAGGAUGCUUCUGUCUGCGUAUCUAUCAAAGGACACAUCAGACACACAUGGUGACGUUAGCUUGGCCCUUACACCGCUUGAACAGAAGCUGUGCAAACAUUUUGUAAGGAUUACAAUUGUAGGAAAGAGAGGAAGAAAGGUUCCAGUUCUUUUAACCCCAAUCAUGAGAGAGUCACUUGAUGCUCUGACUGAGAAGAGAGAAGAAUGUGGAGUGCUGUCUGAAAAUGGAUAUCUGUUUGCAUUACCUCACUCUGUCCAUUACAUAAGGGCUUGUGACUGCAUAAGGCAGUUUGUGAAAGAAUGUGAUCACCUUGAAAAUCCUAAAGCCUUAACAUCAACAAGACUAAGGAAACAUAUCGCCACCCUCUCUACUGUAUUGAACCUUAAGACCACAGAACUCGAUCAGUUGGCAGACUUCCUUGGCCAUAAUAUUGCUGUGCACCGAAAGCACUACCGCCUUCCGGAGGGCACCCUCCAGUUGGCCAAAAUCAGCAAAGUGCUUCUGGCAAUGGAACAGGGACGCCUAGGAGAAUACAAAGGAAAGAGCCUGGAUGAAAUUCAAGUUGACGUGAAUGAUUGCCCACAGUCUCAGCUUUCCAACUCAAUAAUACUAUAUCAAUUAAUAUUUUAGAGACCAUUGGCAUAGAGGGGCCUUCAGAAGAGGACAUUGAAGGAGAACAGGGGUCAGAAGAUGAGGAGAGCAUGUCAUCCCUGAACAUCUGUACCUCAACAUCACAAGUCCAAAACCAGGGAGUGUCUCCAACGGAUGUCACUAUGCCAGGACAACAGGGGUCAGAAGAUGAGGUCAGCACGUCAUCCCUGCAAGAAUGUACCUCCACAUCGCAAGUCCAAAACCAUAGUGUGUCUGCAAGAAAGAGAGGUAAGCAAGCUCCUGUGAGACGUUGGACACCAGAGGAAAUUGCUGCAGUAGAAAAACAUCUGAAGAAGUUCAUUGUGAGGCAAGAUGUUCCAGGUAAAGCGGACUGUGAGCGCUGCAUUGCUUCAGAACCGCAAGCGCUACAAAAUAGAGACUGGAAAGCAGUCAAAUAUUUCAUCAAAAAUAGAAUAACUACCAUGAGAAGAAAAUUAUAAUGAAAGCAGUUCAACGAUCAGAGGUAUGGACACACAUUUUCAGUUUGGGUCCUAUACUUUGUUUAAAUGUUUUGAAAUGUACUGUAGUUUAAAGUAGCUGCUGUGGUUUUAGCAGUCAACAACACAUUAAACAAGUACAUGUUUGGCAAAGUCAAAUGUUUGAUUAUCUGGUUAACUUUGCAGUAAUGAUUGUUUUGUUUUCCUGUAAUCAUUAGUUGCAGCAUUAGAGUCUCAAUUUUGUCUCAAGCAUGUUUUAUGUUUUUUGUGAAACAAUACACGGGCAGAUGUGUACACAAAUUAUUCAUAUUUGAUACACUGACCUUUGUGGUCCACAUUAUUUAUUGGUACAGCAAACCUGCAUUCAUUCCAUGCUAAAGACUGACAGGAUGCUUCACAGCACUUAUUUUUAGAGGAUGGAGUCAUAGAACUAUCUCUUACCUGUGAAGGAAUGCAUAGCUGCAGCAUGUAUUGGUCACUGAUGAGCCUCUGUGACAGGUCAGUAUUAAAAACAUCUUCAUGUUGUGUGGACUUAAGUUUCAUGGUUUAAUUUUUUGAUUGAUUGUCACUGAAGACCUGAAUGUUUGCAACCGGACACCAAGCAGAUGGGUCAUCCUGAGCACAUAUUAAAAAUUUCUCUACCAAAUAUGAAUGACAGUACGUUGUAGACUUCCGUGUUUGAGUUUGGCUAUAAACAAUCCUUGGUUUUUGUUCAAUUUAAAGGUCCAGUGUAACGGACUUAGUAAGACUGCUGAUUGUAACAAAAAGAGGACUCAAAGGAUGUUGUUCUUCAUAAACUAUGUUUACAUGGACACAAGCAAUUGGAAUAAAAGCCCGAUCGGAAUAAAUAUGUCAUGUAAACAUGUCAAUCUAGAAACACUGAUUCCAGUCCACAACACCACAGAGAUGAAAUCAGCAUUAGAAUACUCCUUUUUCUACCUUGUUUGUUUAUCUGGUUAACUUUGCAGUAAUGAUUGUUUUGUUUUCCUGUAAUCAUUAGUUGCAGCAUUAGAGUCUCAAUUUUGUCUCAAGCAUGUUUUAUGUUUUUUAUAUACGGACAAAAAAACUUAUUUUCGUUUUGUGUAAAAAGUAGUCAGAUGACUGACUUGUUCGCAAAAUAAAUACAUGUGCCUUCAGGAUAA
Solea solea (common sole) is the source of this 3773-nucleotide RNA transcript. RefSeq lists it as uncharacterized. The transcript has 5 exons. NCBI's taxonomy places the organism in Eukaryota, Metazoa, Chordata, Actinopteri, Pleuronectiformes, Soleidae. The record is from RefSeq and is a predicted model, not a curated record.